UACGUAGGAGGCGAGCGUUGUCCGGAGUUACUGGGCGUAAAGCGCAUGCAGGCGGUCAACUCAGUCUGUGCUGACAGUUCCCGGCUUAACUGGGAAAGUGGUACGGAUACUGGUUGACUUGAGGGCUUCAGAGGGAUGUGGAACUCCGGGUGGAGUGGUGAAAUGCGUAGAUAUCGUAAGGAAGACCAGUGGCGAAGGCGGGUCUCUGGACAGUUCCUGACGCUGAGGCACGAAGGCCAGGGGAGCAAACGGG
This 253-nucleotide ribosomal RNA is filed under the name uncultured bacterium. Its description in RNAcentral is "partial 16S ribosomal RNA". It matches the Rfam family "Bacterial small subunit ribosomal RNA", at positions 524 to 776 of the family's 1533-position model. The record is from RNAcentral.